RNAcentral lists this ribosomal RNA (490 nucleotides) under uncultured bacterium. Its description in RNAcentral is "partial 16S ribosomal RNA". It matches the Rfam family "Bacterial small subunit ribosomal RNA", at positions 28 to 507 of the family's 1533-position model. The record is from RNAcentral.
GAUGAACGCUAGCGGCAGGCCUAAUACAUGCAAGUCGAACGGGAUCCAGAUCAAAGCUUGCUUUGGUUUGGUGAGAGUGGCGCACGGGUGCGUAACGCGUGAGCAACCUACCCUUGUCAGGGGGAUAGCCCGGCGAAAGUCGGAUUAAUACCGCAUGACAUCAUUGAGAGGCAUCUUUCGAUGAUCAAAGAUUUAUCGGACAAGGAUGGGCUCGCGUGACAUUAGCUAGUUGGUAAGGUAACGGCUUACCAAGGCUACGAUGUCUAGGGGCUCUGAGAGGAGAAUCCCCCACACUGGUACUGAGACACGGACCAGACUCCUACGGGAGGCAGCAGUAAGGAAGAUUGGUCAAUGGACGGAAGUCUGAACCAGCCAUGCCGCGUGCAGGAAGACGGCCCUAUGGGUUGUAAACUGCUUUUAUACGGGAACAAACGUCGGUACGUGUACCGGUCUGAGUGUACCGUAAGAAUAAGGAUCGGCUAACUCCGUG